Molecule: non-coding RNA, 73 nt
Organism: Paramuricea clavata
Lineage: Eukaryota; Metazoa; Cnidaria; Anthozoa; Malacalcyonacea; Plexauridae
Source: the annotation of a GenBank genome assembly
GACCUCGUAGCUCAGUUGGAAGAGCAUUGGGCUAGUAUUCCAAAGGUCGUAGGUUCGAAUCCCGCCGUGGCCA